RNAcentral lists this ribosomal RNA (1330 nucleotides) under uncultured anaerobic bacterium. Its description in RNAcentral is "16S ribosomal RNA". It matches the Rfam family "Bacterial small subunit ribosomal RNA", at positions 8 to 1377 of the family's 1533-position model. The record is from RNAcentral.
AGAGUUUGAUCAUGGCUCAGGACGAACGCUGGCAGCGUGGAUAAGGCAUGCAAGUCGAGUGCUACCUUUUAGGCAAGCACGGCAAACGGGUUAGUAAUGCAUAAGAAUCUACCCUAAAGUUGCGCAUAACCCAGUGAAAUCUGGGAUAAUACGCAAUAUGUUCUACGGAAUAAAGCCUUCGGGCGCUUUAGGAGGAGCUUAUGUGCUAUCAGCUAGUUGGUGAGGUAAUGGCUCACCAAGGCGAUGACGGCUAGGGGGCGUGAGAGCGUGUUCCCCAACAUUGGCACUGAGACACUGGCCAAACACCUACGGGUGGCUGCAGUCGAGAAUCUUCCACAAUGGGCGAAAGCCUGAUGGAGCGACGCUGCGUGCGGGAUGAAGGUCUUCGGAUCGUAAACCGCUUUUGUAGAGGACGAAUUAGCCUACUUCGGUAGGCGAUGACGGUACUCUUUCGAAUAAGAGGUUGCUAACUCUGUGCCAGCAGCAGCGGUAAUACAGAGACCUCGAGCGUUGUCCGGAUUUACUGGGCGUAAAGAGUCUGUAGGGGGUUUGUCAAGUUCCAAGUUAAAUACUAAGGCUCAACUUUAGUUUCGCUUGGAAAACUGACAAGCUGGAGCGUGUAAGAGGUGCAUAGAACUCAUGGUGUAGGAGUGAAAUCCGUUGAUAUCAUGGGGAAUACCAAAGGCGAAAGCAUUGCACUGGGACACUGCUGACCCUGAGAGACGAAAGCGUGGGGAGCGAAAAGGAUUAGAUACCCUUGUAGUCCACGCCGUAAACGAUGAGUGUUAGAUGUUCGGGGAUUCGACCCCCCGGGCGUCGCAGCUAACGCGUUAAACACUCCGCCUGGGAAGUACGGCCGCAAGGCUAAAACUCAAAGGAAUAGACGGGGAUCCGCACAAGCGGUGGAGCGUCUGGUUUAAUUCGACAACAAGCGUGGAACCUCACCAAGGUUUGACAUCUUGUGACAGCUCUGGAAACAGAGUCUUCUUCGGACACAAAGACAGGUGCUGCAUGGUCGUCGUCAGUUCGUGCCGUGAGGUGUUCCGUUCAGUCGGGAAACGAACGCAACCCUUAUCGCAUGUUAUAAUUUCACAUGCGAGACUGCCUAGGUUAACUAGGAGGAAGGUGGGGAUGACGUCAGAUCAGCAUGGCCCUUAUACCUUGGGCUACACAGGCGCUACAAUGGUAGGUACAAAGGGUAGCUUAGUUGUGAAACGAAGCCAAUCCCAAAAACCUAUCUCAGUUCGGAUUGAAGGCCGAAACUCGCCUUCAUGAAGCCGGAAUCGCUAGUAAUCGUGAAUCAGCCACGUCACGGUGAAUAUGUUCCCGG